This 424-nucleotide ribosomal RNA is filed under the name uncultured bacterium. RNAcentral describes it as "partial 16S ribosomal RNA". It matches the Rfam family "Bacterial small subunit ribosomal RNA", at positions 360 to 776 of the family's 1533-position model. The record is from RNAcentral.
AACUUUGGACAAUGGGCGCAAGCCUGAUCCAGCCAUGCCGCGUGAGUGAAGAUGGCCCUCGGGUUGUACCGCUCUUUCUGACGGAAAGAAAUCGCGCAGGCUAAUCCCCCGCGCGGAUGACGGUACCGUCAUAAGAAGCACCUGCUACCUAUCCGCCAGCCGCCGCGGUAAUACGUAGGGUGCGAGUGUUAAGCGGAAUUACUGGGCGUAAAGCGUGCGCAGGCGGUUGAUUAAGACAGGCGUGAAAUCCCCGGGCUUAACCUGGGAACUGCGCUUGUGACUGGUCAGCUAGAGUACGGCAGAGGGGAGUGGAAUUCCACGUGUAGCAGUGAAAUGCGUAGAGAUGUGGAGGAACACCGAUGGCGAAGGCAGCCCGCUGGGCCGAUACUGACGCUCAUGCACGAAAGCGUGGGUAGCAAACAGG